Molecule: ribosomal RNA, 305 nt
Filed under: uncultured bacterium
Lineage: Bacteria
Description: bacterial SSU rRNA
Rfam family: Bacterial small subunit ribosomal RNA
Source: RNAcentral
UGUUUCCUACGGGGGGCAGCAGUGGGGAAUAUUGGACAAUGGGGGGAACCCUGAUCCAGCGACGCCGCGUGAGUGAAGAAGUAUUUCGGUAUGUAAAGCUCUAUCAGCAGGGAAGAAAGAAAUGACGGUACCUGACUAAGAAGCCCCGGCUAACUACGUGCCAGCAGCCGCGGUAAUACGUAGGGGGCAAGCGUUAUCCGGAUUUACUGGGUGUAAAGGGUGCGUAGGCGGCUUGGCAAGUCAGUAGUGAAAUCCAUGGGCUUAACCCAUGAACUGCUAUUGAAACUGUCGAGCUUGAGUGAAGG